UGCAGUGAUGUCCCAGAACGAGAUCAGCAAAGAGAAACAAAGAGGAGGUGCAAAAUGGCUGGAGAUGAAGUGAUCCAAAAUGCACAUAUCAAUCUCUGAAAGAGUACCCUCGGGUCAACCAUUUUACCUCCAGUCACCGGAGUUACUCACCAGAGCAGUUGCUGGGGCGGUCAGGCAACAGGACAGCUGCUCUUAAGCUGGAAGUGGGAUGGAGACAAGCAGCAGGGUACCACUGCCAGCAUUUCAUCUCCCUGGGCUCCUUCGACUGUGAAUCCUGCCAUCUUCACACGUGCCAACAUCCUCAAGAAGAGGGGGUUUUGGAAGAACUACAUGAAUCCAUAAUCUAUUUUUCCCCUGUAGAUUUUGCUGGGGUGUCUGUGGUGCACAGAUUCUGAAACCACUUCACAAAAGGAAUUGACAUGUAUAAAGUCCUUCUAAAAGCCACCAGGAAUGACAACAGGAAAUAGAGAGAGGUGGAUGGAGACCCCUUUCUCUAAAUUGACUCUUUUUAUUCCUAAUUAAAUUUGCUGGGACUGGGGGUGUAGCUGAAUGGUAGUUUAUGUUCAGCAUGUGUGAGUCUCUGGCUUCCAUUCCCAGUAUUGUGGAGAGAAAAAAAAAGGUCUGGAACCAACAAGCCACUAUCAAAGCUAAUAGAGUUCGUGCUAAUAUUAGUAAACAGUAGGAUGCUCUUUUCAAAAUAAAAUAUUUAAAAGUUUA
Molecule: long non-coding RNA, 717 nt
Organism: Mesocricetus auratus (golden hamster)
Lineage: Eukaryota; Metazoa; Chordata; Mammalia; Rodentia; Cricetidae
Exons: 3
Source: RefSeq, a predicted model, not a curated record